RNAcentral lists this transfer RNA (76 nucleotides) under Christensenellaceae bacterium. RNAcentral's name for it is "tRNA-Thr". It matches the Rfam family "tRNA". From Rfam's summary of the family: Transfer RNA (tRNA) molecules are approximately 80 nucleotides in length. Their secondary structure includes four short double-helical elements and three loops (D, anti-codon, and T loops). Further hydrogen bonds mediate the characteristic L-shaped molecular structure. tRNAs have two regions of fundamental functional importance: the anti-codon, which is responsible for specific mRNA codon recognition, and the 3' end, to which the tRNAs corresponding amino acid is attached (by aminoacyl-tRNA synthetases). tRNAs cope with the degeneracy of the genetic code in two manners: having more than one tRNA (with a specific anti-codon) for a particular amino acid; and 'wobble' base-pairing, i.e. permitting non-standard base-pairing at the 3rd anti-codon position. Lineage: Bacteria; Bacillati; Bacillota; Clostridia; Christensenellales; Christensenellaceae. The record is from RNAcentral.
GCCAAUGUAGCUCAGUCGGCAGAGCGGCUCACUCGUAAUGAGCAGGUCAACGGUUCGAGCCCGUUCAUUGGCUCCA